CAACCCCCAAGCAAAGCAUCCAUCCAUCAAGUACCUGAGAGGAUAACAAAAAAAUAGGGGUGAGAUAUAAAAUCUCAGCAAGUAACUAGCUUUAACAAGCUAUUUAAACUACAAGUUCAUUAGACCAUGGUUUAACUAUUAUCAGCAAGCGUAUCUCCUCAAUGAAUAAUAAUAAUAAUAAUAACUCCAACACCCUCAUACAUAAAUAAAACCAAUUCAUCACCAAACCUCGGAGAAAAUUCACUUCUCACCACCACUGCCAAAUAAAUACCAUAGAAAACCGAUAGCACCCUAAAUGCAAAUGCAAUGCAAAUACCAUGUCUCCUGCCUUCAUACUCAAUAAAGUAUGAAGCUGCAUCGUUAUGCCCAAUAAAUGAUGCUGUACCGGUACGGUUGCGGCUAUCAAGCGGCGAAUUAACUCCAUAUGCCAUGCAUUAUGAUGCAAUGAAAUGCAAUGCCAAGACAGAUCACACAAAGAGAGUAUACACCGCAUAUACCAGAUAAGUCUCUCCUCAUUUGACAACAUAAACCUCAUCAUAAUUAUGCCAACAAGAGCCAUUACCAAGUUAUAAAGUAAAGAACAAAGCAUAUGUAAUCACAACAGUAAGAUGUGCAUCAACUUGUAAUUGAAUGGAUGAUAUUGGAUAAGUUAUCCUUCUUAAAUUUAAGGUGGAGGUAGGAAAAAUAGCAAAUUAAAGCUUGUAGCAACCACUGCUAUGUUUCUUGCUUCCCAGUGAAGGAGAUAGCCGCUCUAAGCAUGAUCCGGAGCGUUACCACCUGUUUUGACACAAUAAGAUCAGAACAUAUCCUCAAACAACCAUGUGCAAACAGCAAGUAAAGCACCCAUAUAGUCCAACCCAUCAAACAAGCGACAAUGGUAAACAUCACCUAGGUUAGCCGCAGCAGUGCUGCUUCACUUUUUUGUAUCUUUAAAAUUACAAACGAUAUGACAGCAAGAAAAUACAUCUUAGAAAACUAAGGGAGAAAUCUUACAACUUUGUUCAGAUCGUUUAUUUUUAGCAUAAUCCAAAGAGGGGUAAAACUGCAGUUGAAUGUGAAGUACAGAAUCUGUCUGAAAUUUCGGGCAGCAGCAUACAAAAAUUCAUAUCUCCCAAACCCCUUGUCCAAAAAUUCUAAAAUUUUGUCAGGACAUAUAUCUCUGAGAAACCUACAACUUUUUUAUUAUGGGUUUCCACGAAUUCCAUCCUUAAGAUCAUCUAAUACAUCUCUGAACAUCUGCUGUCAAAAAUCUGGACAUUCAGAAACAGCGUCCAAACAAUAUUCAAUAACUGAAGGUAUACUCCACCAAAAAAUAUGAAACUUGGACAUAAGUUACAUCUCAUAAUCCUCUACAAAUUUUUUAUGAUCCACUUUUGGAGGAGAAAUCGUUUAGGUUGCCAAAACUACAAGGACAGCAGCACUGCCCGAGCUACAGGACAGCACACCUUAAAUCGACCUUCAAACCGUGUUUUCUCCAACAAAUCCACUAAUCCUUAGGACCAAGAACCUCCUAAAAACAUCAAUUAGAAGAUGUAAAGUGGAUUCACCUCACCUUGGUCAUUCCCCAAACCCUAGGGCAGCAGGAAGAUAUGGGGAAAGGACCGAUCUACAUGGAAGAUGCACCUUUUCUUGCUCCUCUUGUUGUCCUCGAUCCGUUUUGCUAGUUCCCCCCAAGGGUUUGCUGCUGUAGAGAGGGGAUUUAGGGAAGGGAAGGUAUGGGAGAGUAGGGAAGGAGGAAGAAACGUGAGAAGGGAGAGAGGACCGGUCUGGAUAAGAUGGGAGGGGGGCAACGGGCCAGGGAAAAGGGUUGGGCUGGCUGGGCCUUUGAAUUUUUUUUAGUGUGUUACAUUCUCCCCUCCUUUAAAGAAUUCGUCCCCGAAUUUAACUACUCAAAGAUAUACCAACUUGAUAAAUUAAAACUUACCGCUCUCAAAGAGUUGUGGGUACUUCUUGCGCAUUUGGUCCUCGAGCUCCCAAGUCGCUUCAUGCUCAGACUGAUUACUCCAUAGAACCUUGACAUAUUUGAUGGUCCUCUUUCUCAUGACUCGCUCGGAUGAGUCUAAGAUGUGUAUAUUUCUAUUUGUAUGAUACUGAUAUUGCUCUUUCUUAAUAUUGCUCAUAAAUGGGGAAAUAGCAUAUCUUUUUUUUCCCUCCUGGGUGACAUUCCACAAUUAGAUUUGGCUCCACAAUAAGUGGCUCCAAAUCAAUCUUGUGCUCAGGAUCCCUCAAAUAUUUUCUUAACAUAGAUACAUGGAAAACAUUGUGCACUUGCUUCAAUGAUUCUGGAAGCUGCAAGCGAUAUGCCAAACUGCAAACACGGGCUGUGAUCACAAACGGACCAAUGUACCUUGGGCUAAGCUUUCCUGUGGUGCCAAACCUCACAACACCUUUGGUUGGCGAUACCCUAAGAAGAACAUGGUCACCCACUGCAAACUCUAGAUCUCGCCUCCUCACAUCAGCAUAACUCUUCUGCUGGCUCUGAGCAGCCAACAGAUUCUGUCGUAUCUCCCGCACCUUUUUAGAUCUCUCUCGGACCCAAUCUGAACCAAUCAAAGAUCUCUCACCCAAAGUUUCCCAGCAUAUGGGAGAAAUACACUUCCUACCAUACAAAGCCUCAAAUGGAGCCAUCUUGAUACUAGCUUGAUAGCUAUUAUUAUAAGCGAACUCUACCAAAGAUAGAUGAUCCUCCCAACUACCUUUCCAUGAAAGAACACAAGCACGAAGCAUGUCCUCUAAGGUCUGAAUAGUCCUCUCCGACUGACCAUCAGUCUGAGGGUGGAAAGCAGUGCUAAGAGUCAAAUUUGUGCCCAAUGCACUAUGCAAGCUUUGCCAAAAGUUAGACACAAACUUGGGAUCUCGAUCAGAAACAAUGGACUUUGGCACACCAUGAAGCCUUAGCACUUCUCUCAAGUAUAAGGGAACCAAAUCUGGUGCUGAACUAGUUGACUUCAUCGGAAUGAAAUGUGCAGACUUAGUGAGUCUAUCCACAAUAACCCAUAUGGCAUCUCUCCCUCGAGGUGAGCGAGGUAACCCGACCACGAAGUCCAUAGUGACAUGUUCACAUUUCCACUCAGGGAUCUCCAAAGGCCAUAAUAAACCCGCAGGCUUUUUAUGUUCUGCCUUAACUUGCUGACAAAUUCCACAAGAUGCUACAUAUUUGGCAACAUCAACUUUCAUCCUUUUCCACCAAAAUUUUUUCUUUAAAUCCCAAUACAUCUUGGUCUCACCAGGGUGAAUUGUGUAAGGUGUUCGAUGUGCCUCCCUAAGUAUAUCCAUCUUCACAUCAGAAUUUUGUGGCACACAAAGACGCCCUCUAAAGCGAAUAGCACCAUGUUCAUCUAUGGUGAACUCCCGUGGUCUACCCCCUAAAAUUCUCUUUCGAACCUCUUGAAGCAAACGAUCAUGUUGUUGAGCCUCACGCACCUGAUCAACUAUGGGAGACUGAAUAAGCAUUUGAGUCUCUUGAUGUGCACCGCCCGCAUAACAAAACGAAACCCCCAUGCGAUCCAUAUCAACAAUCAAGGACAUCACUGUCUUAGGAACACUUGUCCUACUAAGAGCAUCUGCCACCACAUUUGCCUUUCCUCGAUGGUACUGGAUGGUGAGAUCAUAGUCCUUAAUCAAUUUUAACCAUCUCCGUUGCCUCAAGUUGAGUUAUUUUUGUGUGAAAAUAUAUUUGAGACUUUGGUGAUCUGUAAAUAUAUCACAUGACUCUCCAUAAAGAUAAUGCCUCUAAAUCUUUAGAGCAAAAAUAAUUGCAGCCAACUCUAAAUCAUGUGUGGGGUAAUUUUGCUCAUGCUUCUUCAAUUGCCUUGAUGCAUAAGCAAUCACUUUACCUUCUUGCAUAAGCACACAACCAAGCCCGAUUCGAGAAGCAUCUAUAUACAAAGUGAAGUGUUUGCCGCUCUCAGGUAAUGUCAAUAUAGGAGCAUUCACUAACUUAUUAUUUAGAGUUUGGAAACUGGCCUCACACUCUUUAGUCCAUAUGAAUGGAACACCCUUCUUAGUGUGAUUAGUCAUUGGCUUAGCAACAAUUGAGAAACCCUGCAUGAAACGGCGAUAAUAACCUGCAAGCCCAAGAAAGCUCCGAACCUCUGUUACAUUGGUCGGUCUUUGCCAUUCCACCACUGAGGCAACGUUUUUAGUAUCCACCUUAAUGCCAUGUUGAUUAAUGACAUGACCAAGGAAGCUCACUUCAGAAAGCCAAAAUGCACAUUUCUUCAACUUUGCAUAGAACUUGUUCUUCCGGAGUGCAUCCAAGACAAGACUGAGAUGAACCUUAUGCUCCUCCUCUGACUUGGAGUAAACUAAGAUAUCAUCGAUGAAUACCACAACAAAAACAUCCAAGUACUCAUGCAACAUCCUAUUCACGGCCUCCAUAAAAACAACAGGGGCAUUUGUUAGUCCAAAAGACAUAACCACAUACUCAUAAUGCCCAUACCUGGUAUUAAAAGCCGUCUUCUCAAUAUCCUCUUCCUUGAUACGUAGUUGAUGGUAACAAGAUUGCAAGUCAAUAUUAGAGAAUACCUUGGCACCUCUCAAUUGAUCAAAGAGAGCAUCAAUACAAGGCAAAGGGUACUUGUUCUUGAUUGUUACUUGAUUAAGUGCUCGAUAAUCAACACAAAGUCUUUUAGUGCCAUCCUUCUUUUCUACGAACAAGACUGGGGCAGCCCAAGGUGACAUGCUUGGUCGGAUAAACCCUUUAGCAAGAAGUUCAUCCAAUUGCUUAUUUAACUCCACCUGCUCCAUAGGAGCCAUCUUGUAUGGUGUCUUAUAUAUAGGUUGCAUUCCAGGAACCAACUUUAUGUGGAAAAUAGCCUCUCUUUCAGGAGGUAAACCUGGGAGCUCAUCUGGGAAAACAUCUGGAUAGCGACAAACCACUAGAAUAUCAUCCACUUGCAAGGGAACCUCCUGAUCACCAAUCAUCACAAAAAGAAUACCAGUUUUUUGUGUCCAUCAAUCAGGAAAUAACUGACACAACAAGGAGAUAGAGUACUUCAAACCACUCCCUUGAAAGAUCAUCCCUCGUCCUAAUGGUGCUUGCAAAGUGAUUGUUUUCCAGAAACAAGAGAUAAUAGCCUUAUACUAGGAGAGCCAGUCCAUGCCAAGAAUCACAUCAAAAGGCUCCAAUGGAAUCACCACUAAGCUAGCAAUAAAAUCCUCAUCCGCAAGAGUGACAACACAGCCUGGACAAACUAUAGAACUCAAAACAAGCCCUCUAGCAGAACUAACAACGAUAGCCUCCCCAAUCCUUUCAACAAAAAGACCCAAACAACCAACAAAAGCCUCUGAGAUGAAAGAGAAACUAGCUCCAGAAUCAAAAAGAGCAUGAUCAUCGUAAGAAUCAACUGAGAUGAUACUUGUUACCACGUCACCACAAUCUCUAGCGUUAGUGGCUGGCAUAACAUAUGCCCCUGGAACACCAGACGAAGAAGAGGCACCCGAAGUAGGACCCGUCGGAGUGGGAGCCCAUGGAACCAUGGGUGCUAAAGGAGUAGCAUGGGGCAUCCAGUAAGCCCCAGUCUGAAGCGUAGGGGCAGCCGACGGAGUCACCGGUGGCGCUAGCAAGUACUGAGCUGUAGGGGCAGGUAGGUACUGCUGCGGUGGCGGUGCAAGUAGGUGCUGCUGCGGUGGCAGUGCAGGUAGGUGAGGAGUAGAAGAUGCAGCCGCCAUCAUAUGGAAUGCACCAUUGGGAGCUGAAGAAGACACUAGCUCCCAAUGAAGCUUGGCAUCAGGAUUCUUCCUACAAACCACGUCCUUGUGAUCUUGACCACAAAUAGAGCACUUGCCGGACCAUCGGCACUCUCGAAGACGAUGCGCAUCUCCACAUUUGAAGCACACCAUCCCCGUACCAGGUUUGGGAAUGGCACGAUACUGAGAAGUACUCCCUCCUGGAGUACGAGACUGAGUUGAACCACCACGGUACGGCUGGUGACGCUGAAACUUGCCCUUCCUAUGAACAUGACCACCAGAAUGGCCCUUCUUGUCACCCUGACCAUGAGAUUGGUCACCACUCGAAGACUUAUUUAGAUCAGCUGUGACCUGAAGCUGCAUCUCAACUCCCAAGGCUUUCUCUACCAUGGAGCGAAAGUCUGUGACUUCAAAGGCACCCAACACAUGGUGAAUUGAAGGCUUAAGGCCUUGACGAAAUUGCCUUGCUUUCUCUGCAUCUUCAUGGGCCACAUGUGGAACAAAACGAACAAUCUGGUUGAACCCCACCUCAUACUCAACCACUGUCUUCCUUUCCUGCACAUAGUUAUUUAGCUCAAUUUUCAUCUUGCCCAGGAAGGUCACUGGGUAAAACCUCCUCUCAAACUACCUAAAAAACUCAGGCCAAGUUAAAGAACCAUGCACAGCCGUGCGAGCUGACUGCACACCCUUCCACUAAAUCUGUGCCUCACCCUUUAGUAAUUGUGCCCCAUAACGAACACGAUCAUGAGUUGACACCUCAAAAGCUUCCAUCUUAUCCUCCACAUAUGACAACCAAUCAGCAGCCUGAAUAGGAGUACCACUACCAUCAAAACUAUCUAGCUUCAUGCCAACCCACUCUCUCAGCGAGACACCACUCUCAGGGCCAACUGGGGCAGCAACUUCCUGAGUAGAGGUAGUAGGAUUAGGUUGUGCUGCACCCGCACGAGCAGUCUGCCUCAAAGUCCUCAUCUCAUUUUGCAUCUCACCCAUUGCGGCAAGUAAUUCUGCUUGACUAGUGCCAUCAGCUUGGGUACCGCUCGCUGGUCGUGCCCGACCUUGCUUCUUAGGCGGGAUAACUGCAGCCACCACAAGACACAAACAACACAAAUAUCAAGCUCCAACAAUUUAAAGUAUGCAUAAAGACAAAAUAAUCCAUACAUACAAAUGUACCCGUACCCAACCUACAAGUGCAAGUGUGUCAAAUUAGACCUUAUUUUUCCUAGGAUUAAAUUAACCUAAGCUCUGAUUACCAACUGUAACACCCCAAGAAAAACAAACGCCACCUUAGGAUGCUACUAAGCCACACCGGACAAAAGGGAAAGAUUUUGACAGCAUCUUCCCUAAAACAGGAACACUGUGCAAGUAAGAAACAAUAAAAUAUGAAAAUAGAUAAAGCACACUAGCAUAAAUAAAAGAUCCUAACAUGAUAUUCAAACGAUUAAGGCAAGGUUUAACAAAGCUUAACCAUCACUAAGCAACAAACGGACUCUCAUAGAGAAGGACUUAAAUAUUACAGCAUCACACUAGAGGAUUUUGAUUAAAGAGAAGUGUGUGACGUGCUGCUACUUCCCAACCCCCAAGCAAAGCAUCCAUCCAUCAAGUACCUGAGAGGAUAACAAAAAAAUAGGGGUGAGAUAUAAAAUCUCAGCAAGUAACUAGCUUUAACAAGCUAUUUAAACUACAAGUUCAUUAGACCAUGGUUUAAUUAUUAUCAGCAAGCGUAUCUCCUCAAUGAAUAAUAAUAAUAAUAAUAACUCCAACACCCUCAUACAUAAAUAAAACCAAUUCAUCACCAAACCUUGGAGAAAAUUCACUUCUCACAACCACUGCCAAAUAAAUACCAUAGAAAACCGAUAGCACCCUAAAUGCAAAUGCAAUGCAAAUGCCACGUCUCCUGCCUUCAUA
Molecule: long non-coding RNA, 7596 nt
Filed under: Setaria italica (foxtail millet)
Lineage: Eukaryota; Viridiplantae; Streptophyta; Magnoliopsida; Poales; Poaceae
Description: long non-coding RNA (SITA_LNC001052)
Source: RNAcentral